CAGUAGCCGCGGUAAAACGAAGGGUGCAAGCGUUAAUCGGAAUUACUGGGCGUAAAGCGUGCGUAGGCGGUUUGUUAAGUCUGCUGUGAAAUCCCCGGGCUCAACCUGGGAAUGGCAGCGGAUACUGGCAAGCUGGAGUGUGUCAGAGGAUGGUGGAAUUCCCGGUGUAGCGGUGGAAUGCGUAGAUAUCGGAAGGAACACCGGUGGCGAAGGCGGCUACCUGGACUGAGACUGACACUGAGGCGCGAGAGCGUGGGGAGCAAACAGGAUUAGAUACCCCAGUAGUCCCUGUCUCUUAUAC
RNAcentral lists this ribosomal RNA (301 nucleotides) under uncultured bacterium. Its description in RNAcentral is "partial 16S ribosomal RNA". It matches the Rfam family "Bacterial small subunit ribosomal RNA", at positions 509 to 807 of the family's 1533-position model. The record is from RNAcentral.